Loxodonta africana (African savanna elephant) is the source of this 312-nucleotide unclassified non-coding RNA. Its record names the gene 7SK. It matches the Rfam family "7SK RNA". From Rfam's summary of the family: 7SK was discovered as an abundant small nuclear RNA in the mid-70s but a possible function has only recently been suggested. Two independent studies have found that 7SK RNA binds the CDK9/cyclin T complex (known as elongation factor P-TEFb). P-TEFb activates transcription by phosphorylating the C-terminal domain of RNA polymerase II. The record is from Ensembl. NCBI's taxonomy places the organism in Eukaryota, Metazoa, Chordata, Mammalia, Proboscidea, Elephantidae.
GGACGUGAGGUCGACCUGGAUGUGAUCUCUGUCGCUCCAGCCAUCACCAGGGUUUAUCUGGCUGAUCUGGCUGGCUAGUAAGUUGUUCUCUUUUAACUACUUCCUGUGUGUUCUUUUUGAAGUUGCAGAACUCAGUCGGAGAAGAGGACCACUGAUAGUUGUUGGCAACGUGUGUGCUCCUGAGUUUCCUUGUUUGGAUUUCCUCACAGGUUCUAAAAGUCACUUCUAAGCCAGGCCUAAUGGUAGAAUGUGUUGUCAGGUAAGCUGUGCAAAUCUUGGGUGAAAUACAUCCAGCAGAACUCAGUUUAUGAU